CAUAUUUUUAUCGCAUGAUAGAAAUAUCAAAGCUCCGGCGGUAUAGGAUGGACCCGCGUCUGAUUAGCUAGUUGGUAAGGUAAUGGCUUACCAAGGCGACGAUCAGUAGCCGACCUGAGAGGGUGAUCGGCCACAUUGGAACUGAGACACGGUCCAAACUCCUACGGGAGGCAGCAGUGGGGAAUAUUGCACAAGGGGCGAAAGCCUGAUGCAGCAACGCCGCGUGAGCGAAAGGGCCUUCGGGUCGUAAAGCUC
RNAcentral lists this ribosomal RNA (255 nucleotides) under uncultured bacterium. RNAcentral describes it as "partial 16S ribosomal RNA". It matches the Rfam family "Bacterial small subunit ribosomal RNA", at positions 173 to 433 of the family's 1533-position model. The record is from RNAcentral.